GAUGAACGCUGGCGGCGUGCCUAAUACAUGCCAGUCGAGCGAACGGACGAGAAGCUUGUUUCUCUGAUGUUAGCGGCGGACGGGUGAGUAACACGUGGAUAACCCACCUAUAAGACUGGGAUAACUUCGGGAAACCGUAGCUAAUACCGGAUAAUAUUUUGAACCGCAUGGUUCAAAAGUGAAAGACGGUCUUGCUGUCACUUAUAGAUGGAUCCGCGCUGCAUUAGCUAGUUGGUAAGGUCACGGCUUACCAAGGCAACGAUGCAUAGCCGACCUGAGAGGGUGAUCGGCCACACUGGAACUGAGACACGGUCCAGACUCCUACGGGAGGCAGCAGUAGGGAAUCUUCCGCAAUGGGCGAAAGCCUGACGGAGCAACGCCGCGUGAGUGAUGAAGGUCUUCGGAUCGUAAAACUCUGUUAUUAGGGAAGAACAUAUGUGUAAGUAACUGUGCACAUCUUGACGGUACCUAAUCAGAAAGCCACGGCUAACUACGUG
Molecule: ribosomal RNA, 497 nt
Filed under: uncultured bacterium
Lineage: Bacteria
Description: partial 16S ribosomal RNA
Rfam family: Bacterial small subunit ribosomal RNA
Source: RNAcentral